RNAcentral lists this unclassified non-coding RNA (269 nucleotides) under plant metagenome. RNAcentral describes it as "partial contains small subunit ribosomal RNA, internal transcribed spacer 1, and 5.8S ribosomal RNA". The stretch from base 1 to 54 matches the Rfam family "Eukaryotic small subunit ribosomal RNA", at positions 1778 to 1831 of the family's 1831-position model. The record is from RNAcentral.
GGAAGUAAACGUCGUAACAAGGUCUCCGUAGGUGAACCUGCGGAGGGAUCAUUCACAUGAUUUACUUUAUAAACAAACCGUGAACUUUAUUAUAUACUAUUCUUGUAGGGAUUAUUUUAUAAUCUUUUACAACGUCAUUCGAUGAACAUUAGAUAGCUGGCUCGUUUAUUUAUAAACUUUCUCAGCUGAUUUGUUUGUUAGACUAAACAUCUAUUCAAUCAAUCAACCAAACAUAGAAACAACUCUAUGCCCUGGAUAUCUUGGUUCUC